CCUACGGGAGGCAGCAGUGAGGAAUAUUGGUCAAUGGCCGGAAGGCUGAACCAGCCAUGCCGCGUGAAGGUCAGUGCCCUAUGGGCGUUAAACUUCUUUUGUGCGGGAGCAAUAAUGGUCACGUGUGGCCAGACGAGAGUACUGUACGAAUAAGCAUCGGCUAACUCCGUGCCAGCAGCCGCGGUAAUACGGGGGGUGCAAGCGUUAUCCGGAUUUAUUGGGUUUAAAGGGUGCGUAGGCUGUGAGGUAAGUCAGCGGUGAAAUGCCCCCGCUCAACGGGGUGAAGUGCCAUUGAUACUGCCUGGCUGGAAUGCGGAUGCGGUGGGAGGAAUGUGUGGUGUAGCGGUGAAAUGCAUAGAUAUCACACAGAACACCGAUUGCGAAGGCAUCUCACGAAUCCGCGAUUGACGCUGAUGCACGAAAGCGUGGGUAUCAAACAGGAUUAGAUACCCUAGUAGUC
Molecule: ribosomal RNA, 460 nt
Filed under: uncultured bacterium
Lineage: Bacteria
Description: partial 16S ribosomal RNA
Rfam family: Bacterial small subunit ribosomal RNA
Source: RNAcentral